AGCAGUCGCCACGGUAAAACGUAGGUGGCAAGCGUUGUCCGGAAUUAUUGGGCGUAAAGGGCUCGCAGGCGGUUUCUUAAGUCUGAUGUGAAAGCCCCCGGCUCAACCGGGGAGGGUCAUUGGAAACUGGGAAACUUGAGUGCAGAAGAGGAGAGUGGAAUUCCACGUGUAGCGGUGAAAUGCGUAGAGAUGUGGAGGAACACCAGUGGCGAAGGCGACUCUCUGGUCUGUAACUGACGCUGAGGCACGAAAGCGUGGGGAGCAAACAGGAUUAGAUACCCCGUAGUCCCUGUCUCUUAUACA
This 303-nucleotide ribosomal RNA is filed under the name uncultured bacterium. RNAcentral's name for it is "partial 16S ribosomal RNA". It matches the Rfam family "Bacterial small subunit ribosomal RNA", at positions 507 to 808 of the family's 1533-position model. The record is from RNAcentral.